RNAcentral lists this long non-coding RNA (341 nucleotides) under Mytilus galloprovincialis (Mediterranean mussel). Lineage: Eukaryota; Metazoa; Mollusca; Bivalvia; Mytilida; Mytilidae. The record is from RNAcentral.
CCACAAUUUACACAAAAUGUAUGUUUCUUUCUUAUGUUCAAUGUAUACAUGUAUACAUAUUUUAAAUUGCGCUACUGACUAUAGUUCCGUAACUUUCUACCCAGGCGUAUGUAUACACGAAUCGUCGACAAGUGCGCACAUUUUUUUAAAUCAAUAAUUCUGGUAUGUUCCAAUCUGUCCUAAACUAUUGACAACGAGUAUAUAUUACAUUUUCCCAAAUUAACCCUUGGAAAAAUAUGUAAAUAGAUUUGUAUUUCUUCAAUUUUUUUUUUGUAUUAUUUUUUUUUAUAAAUAAUAUUCUUUACACCAGAAAUGUUAUUUAUAAACAAGCGUAUGAGUUC